This 253-nucleotide ribosomal RNA is filed under the name uncultured bacterium. RNAcentral's name for it is "partial 16S ribosomal RNA". It matches the Rfam family "Bacterial small subunit ribosomal RNA", at positions 524 to 776 of the family's 1533-position model. The record is from RNAcentral.
UACGAAGGGGGCUAGCGUUGCUCGGAAUCACUGGGCGUAAAGGGUGCGUAGGCCGCACGGUAAGUCAGAGGUGAAAUCCCGGAGCUCAACUUCGGAAUUGCCUCCGAUACUGCCGUGCUUGAGGACUGGAGAGGAGAUUGGAAUUCACAGUGGAGCAGUGAAAUGCGUAGAUAUUGUGAGGAACACUAGUGGCGAAGGCGAAUCUCUGGACAGUUCCUGACGCUGAGGCACGAAGGCCAGGGGAGCAAACGGG